This 909-nucleotide ribosomal RNA is filed under the name uncultured Thermotoga sp. RNAcentral's name for it is "bacterial SSU rRNA". It matches the Rfam family "Bacterial small subunit ribosomal RNA", at positions 8 to 916 of the family's 1533-position model. Lineage: Bacteria; Thermotogati; Thermotogota; Thermotogae; Thermotogales; Thermotogaceae. The record is from RNAcentral.
AGAGUUUGAUCCUGGCUCAGGGUGAACGCUGGCGGCGUGCCUAACACAUGCAAGUCGAGCGGGUACCCGCAAGGGUACCAGCGGCGCACGGGUGAGUAACACGUGGGUAAUCUACCCCUCGGAGGGGGAUAACCGGGGGAAACUCCGGCUAAUACCCCAUACGAUCCAACAACACAAGUUGUUGGAUGAAAGGAGCGUUUGCUCCGCCGAGGGAUGAGCCCGCGGCCCAUCAGGUAGUUGGUGGGGUAAUGGCCCACCAAGCCUACGACGGGUAGCCGGCCUGAGAGGGUGGUCGGCCACAAGGGCACUGAGACACGGGCCCUACUCCUACGGGAGGCAGCAGUGGGGAAUCUUGGACAAUGGGCGAAAGCCUGAUCCAGCGACGCCGCGUGGGGGAUGAAGCCCUUCGGGGUGUAAACCCCUGUUGCGAGGGAGGAAUAAGGCCUGGAGGAAAUGCCAGGCCGAUGACUGUACCUCGCGAGGAAGCCCCGGCUAACUACGUGCCAGCAGCCGCGGUAAUACGUAGGGGGCGAGCGUUACCCGGAUUCACUGGGCGUAAAGCGGGUGUAGGCGGCUCGGUAAGUCGGGUGUGAAAUCCCACAGCUCAACUGUGGAAUUGCGCCCGAAACUGCUGAGCUUGGGGCCGGUAGAGGGAGACGGAACUGCCGGUGUAGGGGUGAAAUCCGUAGAUAUCGGCAGGAACGCCGGUGGGGAAGCCGGUCUCCUGGGCCGCGCCCGACGCUGAGACCCGAAAGCUAGGGGAGCAAACCGGAUUAGAUACCCGGGUAGUCCUAGCCGUAAACGAUGCCCACUAGGUGUGGGGGAUUAAUUCCUCCGUGCUGUAGCUAACGCGUUAAGUGGGCCGCCUGGGGAGUACGCCCGCAAGGGUGAAACUCAAUGAAUUGACGG